GAUGAAGAACGCAGCGAAAUGCGAUAAGUAAUGUGAAUUGCAGAAUUCAGUGAAUCAUCGAAUCUUUGAACGCACAUUGCGCCCACCAGUAUUCUGGCGGGCAUGCCUGUUCGAGCGUCAUUUCAACCAUCAAGCCCCAGGCUUGUGUUGGAGCCCUGCGGCUGCCGCAGCCUCCCAAAACCAGUGGCGGGCUCGCUAUCACACCGAGUGCAGUAGUUUACUCUUCGCUCAGGGCGUGUGGCGGGUGCUAGCCGUAAAACCCCCAACUUCUCAAGGUUGACCUCGGAUCAGGUAGGAAUACCCGCUGAACUUAAGCAUAUCAAUAAGCGGAGGA
RNAcentral lists this unclassified non-coding RNA (334 nucleotides) under soil metagenome. RNAcentral describes it as "partial contains 5.8S ribosomal RNA, internal transcribed spacer 2, and large subunit ribosomal RNA". The stretch from base 1 to 120 matches the Rfam family "5.8S ribosomal RNA", at positions 35 to 154 of the family's 154-position model. The record is from RNAcentral.